UACGUAGGGUGCGAGCGUUGUCCGGAUUUAUUGGGCGUAAAGAGCUCGUAGGCGGUUUGGCAAGUCGGGUGUGAAAUUUCGAGGCUCAACCUCGAAACGCCACUCGAUACUGCCAUGACUGGAGUCCGGUAGAGGAGUGCGGAAUUCCUGGUGUAGCGGUGAAAUGCGCAGAUAUCAGGAGGAACACCAACGGCGAAGGCAGCACUCUGGGCCGGUACUGACGCUGAGGAGCGAAAGCGUGGGGAGCAAACAGG
RNAcentral lists this ribosomal RNA (254 nucleotides) under uncultured bacterium. RNAcentral describes it as "partial 16S ribosomal RNA". It matches the Rfam family "Bacterial small subunit ribosomal RNA", at positions 524 to 776 of the family's 1533-position model. The record is from RNAcentral.